UAGGGAAUCUUCGGCAAUGGACGAAAGUCUGACCGAGCAACGCCGCGUGAGUGAAGAAGGUUUUCGGAUCGUAAAACUCUGUUGUUAGAGAAGAACAAGGACGUUAGUAACUGAACGUCCCCUGACGGUAUCUAACCAGAAAGCCACGGCUAACUACGUGCCAGCAGCCGCGGUAAUACGUAGGUGGCAAGCGUUGUCCGGAUUUAUUGGGCGUAAAGCGAGCGCAGGCGGUUUCUUAAGUCUGAUGUGAAAGCCACCGGCUCAACCGGGGAGGGUCAUUUGAAACUGGGAGACUUGAGUGCAGAAGAGGAGAGUGGAAUUCCAUGUGUAGCGGUGAAAUGCGUAGAUAUAUGGAGGAACACCAGUGGCGAAGGCGGCUCUCUGGUCUGUAACUGACGCUGAGGCUCGAAAGCGUGGGGAGCAAACAGG
This 429-nucleotide ribosomal RNA is filed under the name Gemmatimonadota bacterium. RNAcentral's name for it is "Gemmatimonadetes bacterium partial 16S ribosomal RNA". It matches the Rfam family "Bacterial small subunit ribosomal RNA", at positions 355 to 776 of the family's 1533-position model. Lineage: Bacteria; Pseudomonadati; Gemmatimonadota. The record is from RNAcentral.